Scylla paramamosain (green mud crab) is the source of this 1401-nucleotide long non-coding RNA. RefSeq lists it as uncharacterized. The record is from RefSeq and is a predicted model, not a curated record. The transcript has 4 exons. Lineage: Eukaryota; Metazoa; Arthropoda; Malacostraca; Decapoda; Portunidae.
CUAUGAUAACAAGACGAGACACGUGUGUAUGCAACAUUGCAGCACCAUGAUCACCUUGAUUUCUUCCAUAAUUCCUUAUUCACAAGAUUUGCAUGCCAGCUCGUAUCUCAUUUUGAUGUGUUGUCGAAUAUAGUUUAUUCGUUAUUUGAGCUUCGUUUAGCCUUGAAAACUUUUUUUUCUGGGAAGGUUUUCCGUUCCCAGUGAAUGUAUCAACCGCAUGUAAUGUACAACGGGUGGGCAGAUAAUCCAAUAAGGUGGUAAGGUGGACCACGACAGGGCGGAGGAGGGUUGCGUCACCGUGGAGGCCUCGUCUGGCUCAAGAUAGAUGAGUAUUUCUUUAUAGAACUCGCAAGAAAUCACACACACAUACACACACGCGUCUCUUAUAAAUGAGCUCUGACGAGCAGACUAUCACAUCAACGUCAGAUUAACUAUCACUAGCGGUCAUGUCAAAUGGUAGGAGAGGGAGGAGGGGCGUCUGGCAGCGGGAUGGCUCGCGGCUGCAGGCAAGGCGGCAUUGUGGCUUCCUCAGCGCCCCUGUCUCGUGCUAUCUGCUUUGACGGGAGAACCUGCAGGAGGAACGUGGUCCAUUACUGCUCAACCUUACAUGUUGCUUGGCGGCGAUGGAUCUUCCCAUUGAGAUGUGCCCCGGCGGCACGCCGUCCACACAUCUAGCCAGCGACCACUGCCACGCUCAGGACAGAUCUCCACCACAUGCCUCUGCUGGACAAAGGACCCUUCGUAUAGCCGGAGAGACUCACAACCGUUCCUUGUCACGAAGGCGGCCAGGUUCCCGCCUAUUCCAUCGUCCCGUCUGAAUCACCAAGUGAAUGCCCUGAAAUCCUGAACAUCGUGAACGACAAUGUGCAGAUCAUUUACCAUGUGUCUCCUUUAUAUACAUUAAUCACUGUCAUAAUGUGAUUAAUAUCCAGAUGCACCUGGAUGUCCGUGACGACAAAAUAGUGUUAUUUACAUUUCCAUCAAGAAAGACAGGCCGCGACGUCAUACUUGGUGUAUCUGUUUACAGUCCUCGCAAUAACUGCAUGUAUCCCAUUGAUAAUUUCAACAUAAAAAAAAAUGAAAGGAUCAUAUUUAUUAACUGACUUUUCCUGCCACAACUUAUGGAAAAGAAUUAUUGUUUAUAUUGUAAGAGAUCGGGCGAGGUUGGGUGGCCCAGCUUAGCGUAACACACAAGAUCUGAUGUAUUCUUUCUUACUCCGAGCAAUGUUUUCAUAGACCAGUUAUACACUUAUGACUGAUUUCGUAUCACACACACACACACACACACACACACACACACACACACACACACACACACACACACACACACACACACACACACACACACACACACACACACACACACACACACACACACACACACACACACACACACACACA